This is a long non-coding RNA of Micropterus salmoides (largemouth bass), 1256 nucleotides long. RefSeq lists it as uncharacterized. The record is from RefSeq and is a predicted model, not a curated record. The transcript is spliced from 3 exons. Lineage: Eukaryota; Metazoa; Chordata; Actinopteri; Centrarchiformes; Centrarchidae.
CCCCGGGGCCCCGGUCUCUAUCUUGCUUUGUUGUUUUAAAAUAUGCAUGUCUCUCCGGAAUGCCAGUCACGGGUCCAAACUUUGUGUGUCCCAACCUCCCACAUGAUGAAAUGAUCCUUUUAAAGCGGGCUCAAUAUGUCUCAAUCUGCACUCCUCUUCCCUCUCUAAAGCUUCUGGGUUCGGGACACUGCCCAGAAAUAUAUUAAUUAAAGCGCACAGACUUUUUAGCACUGGGGAAGAAGUGGCUGGAUCAAGUCAAGCUCUGUCAACGAUGGAUGGAUGAAGAUUCACGGCAGGAAAAAGGGGAAAAAGCUGCUGUACGUCUAUUAUGAUUGACUGUAACGAGGCAUUGCAGGGUAUUUUUCAUCUGGGCCACGGUGAACCGCUCCUUACAGUGAAGCGAUCAAUGUCUGCAGCGCUCUCUCAUUCACCCUGAACUGGCGGUGAACUCCUGCGGAACGCCGCCAGCCUCUCCACCCUAUCCCAUCGCAGUCCGGGGUCAACGGGGGGGCGUCUCUGUGCCAAUAUGCAGAUGAGCCUGUGCCCCUCCAAUGACUCUGGUGUGAAGCUCCACCCCUCUAUAUGGUGGAGAGCCCCCCACUCCACCCACCUACCCCACCUGACGACACUCACAGAGACAUAAACCCACUCCCACACUGGCUUAAAUAGGCAUUUAACAGCUUACGUCCGCUCUUCCUUUAAUAGCCAAAGUGUGUCGAACCUAAUGGAUGUUGUCAAAGCUGAGAUGUGACCACUGAUUUAGAGGACGAAGCCCAAUGACCAGGCUUCACUAGCCCUUAAAGACUGGGAGAGAUAGAAAGAGACAGAGAGAGAGGGAAUUACCUCAGCAAAGACACAAAUCAAAAUAAUAUCUUUAAAAGAGUGGGGAUCGAUGAGGUGUCAUCUGAAUGUAUCUUGUGUGUAAAGUGAACCCAUAAACAGCCAAUGAGAACUACUUUAUCCUCAAUUUUAGUCCCUUAGUGAAAAAGUACUUCAUCUGAUAAGCAGAUUUUUUAUGAGCAAUUGAUUUCAUGUAUUGUUAAAACAAGAUAUCACAGGCGAAGAGCACUUCCAUUUUAUUAGUUUAAUUACAACUUGUGUCAUGUAUUUAAUUGAUCAAACUUUGAAAAUAAAGUACCCUGUGUAUUUGUGUGUGUACUUUCAUGCAUUCACUGUGAACCAAUUAAGUUGCCUGUGCUAAUUUUAACAAGAUCAUUGUAAUUGCAUUAAUUUAAUAAAGUUUAUUGUAAAUGCAA